RNAcentral lists this ribosomal RNA (406 nucleotides) under uncultured bacterium. RNAcentral describes it as "partial 16S ribosomal RNA". It matches the Rfam family "Bacterial small subunit ribosomal RNA", at positions 30 to 526 of the family's 1533-position model. The record is from RNAcentral.
AUUGAACGCUGGCGGCAGGCCUACCACAUGCAAGUCGAACGAGUGGCGGACGGGUGAGUAAUGUCUGGGAAAAUGCCUGAUGGAGGGGGAUAACUACUGGAAACGGUAGCUAAUACCGCAUACCAUCAGAUGUGCCCAGAUGGGAGUAGAUUGUUGGUGGGGUAACGGCUCACCAAGGAGACGAUCACUAGCUGGUCUGAGAGGAUGACCAGACACACUGGAACUGAGACACGGUCCAGACUCCGACGGGAGGCAGCAGUGGGGAAAAUUGAACAAUGGGCGAAAGCCUGAUGCAGCCAUGCCGCUUGUAUGAAGAAGGCCUUCGGGUUGUAAAGUACUUUCAGCGGUGAGGCGUUACCCGCAGAAGAAGCACCGGCUAACUCCAUGCCAGCAGCCGCGGUAAUAC